UACAGAGGGUGCAAGCGUUAAUCGGAAUUACUGGGCGUAAAGCGCGCGUAGGUGGUUUGUUAAGUUGGAUGUGAAAUCCCCGGGCUCAACCUGGGAACUGCAUUCAAAACUGACAAGCUAGAGUAUGGUAGAGGGUGGUGGAAUUUCCUGUGUAGCGGUGAAAUGCGUAGAUAUCUGGAGGAACACCCGUGGCGAAGGCGGCUCUCUGGUCCGAAACUGACGCUGAGGUGCGAAAGCUAGGGUAGCAAACAGGAUUAGAAACCCUUGUAGU
This 271-nucleotide ribosomal RNA is filed under the name uncultured bacterium. RNAcentral's name for it is "partial 16S ribosomal RNA". It matches the Rfam family "Bacterial small subunit ribosomal RNA", at positions 524 to 794 of the family's 1533-position model. The record is from RNAcentral.